GCAGUAGCCACGGUAAUACAGAGGGUGCGAGCGUUAAUCGGAUUUACUGGGCGUAAAGCGUGCGUAGGCGGCUUCUUAAGUCGGAUGUGAAAUCCCUGAGCUUAACUUAGGAAUUGCAUUCGAUACUGGGAAGCUAGAGUAUGGGAGAGGAUGGUAGAAUUCCAGGUGUAGCGGUGAAAUGCGUAGAGAUCUGGAGGAAUACCGAUGGCGAAGGCAGCCAUCUGGCCUAAUACUGACGCUGAGGUACGAAAGCAUGGGGAGCAAACAGGAUUAGAUACCCCAGUAGUCCCUGUCUCUUAUAC
Molecule: ribosomal RNA, 302 nt
Filed under: uncultured bacterium
Lineage: Bacteria
Description: partial 16S ribosomal RNA
Rfam family: Bacterial small subunit ribosomal RNA
Source: RNAcentral